UACGUAGGGUGCGAGCGUUAAUCGGAAUUACUGGGCGUAAAGGGCGCGUAGGCGGCGCAACAAGUCACUUGUGAAAUCUCCGGGCUUAACCCGGAGCGGCCAAGUGAUACUGUCGUGCUAGAGUGCGGAAGGGGCUACUGGAAUUCUCGGUGUAGCGGUGAAAUGCGUAGAUAUCGAGAGGAACACCUGCGGCGAAGGCGGGUAGCUGGGCCGACACUGACGCUGAUGCGCGAAAGCCAGGGGAGCGAACGGG
Molecule: ribosomal RNA, 253 nt
Filed under: uncultured bacterium
Lineage: Bacteria
Description: partial 16S ribosomal RNA
Rfam family: Bacterial small subunit ribosomal RNA
Source: RNAcentral